CGGAUCCUACGGGACGCAGCAGUAGGGAAUUUUCGUCAAUGGGCGCAAGCCUGAACGAGCGAUGCCGCGUGAGUGAAGAAGGCCUUCGGGUCGUAAAGCUCUGUUGCGGGGGAAAAAAGGCAGCAUCAGGAAAUGGGUGCUGACUGAUGGUGCCCCGCCAGAAAGUCACGGCUAACUACGUGCCAGUAGCCGCGGUAAUACGUAGGUGGCGAGCGUUAUCCGGAAUGAUUGGGCGUAAAGGGUACGCAGGCGGUCCUGCAAGUCUGGAGUGAAACGCAUGAGCUCAACUCAUGCAUGGCUUUGGG
Molecule: ribosomal RNA, 305 nt
Filed under: uncultured bacterium
Lineage: Bacteria
Description: bacterial SSU rRNA
Rfam family: Bacterial small subunit ribosomal RNA
Source: RNAcentral